Molecule: long non-coding RNA, 1006 nt
Filed under: Prunus persica (peach)
Lineage: Eukaryota; Viridiplantae; Streptophyta; Magnoliopsida; Rosales; Rosaceae
Description: long non-coding RNA (PPER_LNC007700)
Source: RNAcentral
UUUUAAUCAAUUGAAUUUUCUUUAAAUCAAAUCUUGCAUAAAUCUACUUCUCAAUCUUAAUUGUUCUGUCUCAACUUGGACUUUUGUGAAGACCUGUUUUUUUAAUAUAUAUAUAUGUAUUAAUUAAAUAUUUAAAUUAUAAUAUUAGAAGUAAGAGGUGGCUUUAGCACAUGCAAAUAUAGUAAUUGACUUACAAGUGGCCAUCAUAAAUAUUAGAAUAUGAAAGAUAUUUUGUAUUCUUUUCUUGCCGUCAUUGGUUUGAUGCACUUAUCCAAAACUUGGAUAACAAGUUUGUUGCCAGCCAAUAAGUGAACAUUGGUUUGCCGCCUCUCUUGUUGUUUAAAUAGGAAACCGCCUCUUUUGCAUAGAAAUAAAUGCAAAGAGAGAUAGAAACGGAAAGAAAAAUAAAUAGAAAGAAGGGAAGAUAGUAAGAGAGGUAGAGAGAAGAAGAAGUAUUGGAAGAAAAUAGAACACUGAGUUUGUGAAUACGGUGGAAAAUUGGGAAACACCAAACAAUUCUAGCAAAAGCUUUGGUGACAAGGUAGGGGGUUUCUUGGGGGGCCUUUUACAGAGAUUGAUUUAAUUAAAUUUCGUGAGCAUCAUAUUAUGCAUGAUACUAUUUGAUUUACGUUCCUUGUAUUGGGUGUUUACGUAAUCUUAACUGUUUGAACAAUGUGGGUAUGAUUAUAUGUACAUUGGUGAUAUUUAAAUGAUUACAUUGUUUUUAUGAGGAGGAAUGCUAGCAACCUUGUCUUUAACCUUCUCCUUUGGACCUUCUUCAUUUUUUGCUUGACAUGUGUCAUUCUCCUUACACUUAAAACAAUGUCAUUAAUAUAUUAUACAAACUAACUUUUGCUUUCCAAGUUUACCCUUAUUAAAUGUAUUCAAUUUAUCCAAACAAAUUUCACAACUUUCUUACCAUAUUAUUAUUAUUAUUUUUUUACUUUCAUUAUUUUUUUAAAAUUUUUUUUUUUUGCUUUUUAAAAAAAGAGGAAAUGUCCUUUUU